GAUGCAAAUCUUCGGACGUGCUGGAAGACCUCAGUUUGAUAAAAGUGGUGAAGGCAUUAUAAUCACUUCACAUGACAAAUUGGCUUAUUAUUUACGGCUAUUGACAAGUCAACUUCCUAUAGAAAGUCAGUUCAUCAAUUCCUUGAAAGAUAAUCUAAAUGCUGAGGUGGUACUGGGUACUGUAACAAAUGUCAAGGAAGCUUGUGCUUGGCUUGGUUACACAUACCUUUUCAUUAGGAUGAAGAUGAAUCCUUUGGCCUAUGGCAUCGGAUGGGAUGAGGUCAUGGC
RNAcentral lists this unclassified non-coding RNA (288 nucleotides) under Hevea brasiliensis (rubber tree). Lineage: Eukaryota; Viridiplantae; Streptophyta; Magnoliopsida; Malpighiales; Euphorbiaceae. The record is from RNAcentral.